Callithrix jacchus (white-tufted-ear marmoset) is the source of this 1546-nucleotide long non-coding RNA. RefSeq lists it as uncharacterized. The record is from RefSeq and is a predicted model, not a curated record. Lineage: Eukaryota; Metazoa; Chordata; Mammalia; Primates; Cebidae.
AAAUAAUCCAAGAUCCUGUUAGAAAUCUGUCUCUUCCUCUUACUGCAGUAUCUCUCUGAGGAUUAUCUGAGUUUUAUGUUACAAUUCACUUCUUAAUGUCAGAAUAAUUUCUAUCUAACAAUUUUAUAUAAAAAUCAAUGGAAGCUGGGCAUGGUGGCUCACGCCUGUCAUCUCAGCACUUUGGGAGGCCAAGGCAGGUGGAUCACGAGGUCAAGAGACCAAGACCAUCCUGGCCAACAUGCUGAAACCCCAUCUCUACUAAAAAUGCAAAACUUAGCUGUGUGUGUUGGCAGGGGCCUAUAGUACCAGCUACUCAGGAAGCUGAGGCAGGAGAAUUGCUUGAACCCAGGAGGCAGAGGUUGCAGUGAGCCAAGAUCGCACCACUGCACCCCAGCCUGGCCACAGAGUGAGACUCCAUCUCAAAAAAAAAAAAAUCAAUGGGAAAUACUUUUGUAUGGUAUGUUUAUAAUUGUAUAUCCCACCUUAUUAAACAUAAUUCUGACAUUUUGAUAAAGCACCAGUGAGAACCCAAUCCACUGCUUGCAAUGUUACAUGUCUAGUGAUCAGGAGAAUUUUCCAUGGGCUGGCUUCUGACUCUAUACAAUUCACAUACUGCUUCCAGGUCCAGGGACUAGAGAACGUGCUCUUGUCACCAUCAGCCUCAGGUUCUGCAUCUACAUGAUGAUACCUGAGUCAACUCGAUGGCUGCAGGAAUAUUCCUGGAAGCCAUUCCUAUAACCAGAAGUUAGCAACAACUAUACAUACAGACUCUAAACAGAGGUGGUGGUAAAAUCACCUGAGAAAAUCCAGGAGCAGAGGAGCAGAGAAGCAGAGACUGAAGAGGAGAGCCCGUGCCGUGAGGAGCGAGGCUGGCAGGAAAUGCCACCUGAGCCAGCAGCCAGACCCUGCCUGGCAGGUACCACAAGGCCUGUUCCCUGGCACAGAAGCCGGAAAGCCAGUGGAAGUAGACAGGACUUCCACCGCCCUGGAGCUUGGCGGUCACAGGCAGGAAGGCACCAAAUCAGGUCUCCUCAAUCAGGCUACUCACGGGAAGCAGGAUUCUUCCAAUCCCCAUGACUCAGGCAAUGAGAGAUUCAUUAAACCUACUAAGAGAUAACUGGUUCGUUGAGCAUAAAUUGCCCUCCCCUACACACACACUUCCCUCGCCACACUGGAGCUGGAAUAUGAAUUCAUGGAGAGGGAAGGGCUGAAAACGGUGGUGUGGGAUGGAUCCCAGUCAUUCGCAGGCAAUGCCGACACAUGGUAGAUAUACACACCGCGAGCCUGUCUUUGCCAAGGUCAUUCUUUCUAAGCCUCUGCCUCUAAGCAGCUUCAACACAUCCAAAGCAUUUCUCCCUAAAUGUUUUGGAUACUUCUCAGCAGACAGUCCCUUAUGGUGGCUAGCCCCUAGUCUUUCUCCUUCCACAGCAGCACUGCUUCCUUAAGUGUCCUCUGACACCCAUGCCCCAUCCAUGGAGCUUGGCCUCCUUGGUCUCCCGUCUUCCCUUCUGGAGGAGGCCUAAAAGGACCACUUAACUCCAUUGCU